This 619-nucleotide ribosomal RNA is filed under the name uncultured bacterium. Its description in RNAcentral is "bacterial SSU rRNA". It matches the Rfam family "Bacterial small subunit ribosomal RNA", at positions 338 to 947 of the family's 1533-position model. The record is from RNAcentral.
CCUACGGGAGGCAGCAGUAGGGAAUCUUCCGCAAUGGACGAAAGUCUGACGGAGCAACGCCGCGUGAACGAUGAAGGCCUUCGGGUCGUAAAGUUCUGUUGUUAGGGAAGAACAAGUGUUAGUUGAAUAAGCUGGCACCUUGACGGUACCUAACCAGAAAGCCACGGCUAACUACGUGCCAGCAGCCGCGGUAAUACGUAGGUGGCAAGCGUUGUCCGGAAUUAUUGGGCGUAAAGCGCGCGCAGGCGGUUUCUUAAGUCUGAUGUGAAAGCCCCCGGCUCAACCGGGGAGGGUCAUUGGAAACUGGGAAACUUGAGUGCAGAAGAGGAAAGUGGAAUUCCAAGUGUAGCGGUGAAAUGCGUAGAGAUUUGGAGGAACACCAGUGGCGAAGGCGACUUUCNGGUCUGUAACUGACGCUGAGGCGCGAAAGCGUGGGGAGCAAACGAGGAUUAGACUACCCGUGGUAGUCCACGCUGUAAACGNUGAGUGACUAAGUGUUAGAGGGUUUCCGCCUUUAGNGCUGAAGUUAACGNAUUAAGCACUCCGCUGGGGAAUCGGUCGCAAGACUGAAACUUAAGGAAUUGACGGNUGAGAGNGCGAGACGACGACGAGGGAGAGG